Molecule: ribosomal RNA, 468 nt
Filed under: uncultured bacterium
Lineage: Bacteria
Description: partial 16S ribosomal RNA
Rfam family: Bacterial small subunit ribosomal RNA
Source: RNAcentral
GACGAACGCUGGCGGUGUGCUUAACACAUGCAAGUCGAACGGUAAGGCCCUUUCGGGGGUCCACGAGUGGCGAACGGGUGAGUAACACGUGAGUAACCUGCCCUCAUCUCUGGGAUAACAGUCGGAAACGGUUGCUAAUACUGGAUAUUAGCUUGCAAGGCAUCUUGUGGGUUGGAAAGAUUUUUUUUGGUUGGGGAUUGACUCGCGGCCUAUCAGCUUGUUGUUGAGGUCGUGGCUCACCACGGCUUCGACGGGUAGCCGGCCUGAGAGGGCGACCGGCCAGAGGGGGAUGGAGAGACGGGCCAAAGUGCGAAGGGAGGGAGCAGGGGGGAAUAUUGGACAAAGGAAGGAAGUGUGAGGGAGCAAGGCCGCGGGCGGGAUGAGGGCCUUCGGGUGGUAAAAAGAUUUGAAGGGUGACGAAGCGUUUUUGUGACGGUAGCAGUAGAAGAAGCACCGGCUAACUACGUG